CAACCCUCAAGCCCAGCUUGGUGUUGGGAGCUGCAGUCCUGCUGCACUCCCCAAAUACAUUGGCGGUCACGUCGAGCUUCCAUAGCGUAGUAAUUUACAUAUCGUUACUGGUAAUCGUCGCGGCCACGCCGUUAAACCCCAACUUCUGAA
This 150-nucleotide unclassified non-coding RNA is filed under the name Fusarium culmorum. RNAcentral's name for it is "partial internal transcribed spacer 2". RNAcentral also lists the same sequence under 1 other name. Lineage: Eukaryota; Fungi; Ascomycota; Sordariomycetes; Hypocreales; Nectriaceae. The record is from RNAcentral.